AUGGACGUUACCUUUGAGGCGAAGAACGGCUCGUUCACCCUAGAGGUGUGGUACUUCGCGACCGUGAAGCAGAUGAAGGAGAUGAUCCACAAGCGCUACCGCCACCUCCCGGUGAAGGCCCAGCGGCUUUUCUUCAAUGGCAAGGAGCUUGACGACGACCGCAAUACCGAGCACUACGGUAUCAUACAGGGGUCAAGCAUCCGCCUUGAACUGCUGGCAAGCUUGACCAUGUUACCUUUGUGA
RNAcentral lists this ribosomal RNA (243 nucleotides) under Triticum aestivum (bread wheat). RNAcentral describes it as "partial small subunit ribosomal RNA". Lineage: Eukaryota; Viridiplantae; Streptophyta; Magnoliopsida; Poales; Poaceae. The record is from RNAcentral.